This 297-nucleotide ribosomal RNA is filed under the name Triticum aestivum (bread wheat). Its description in RNAcentral is "partial small subunit ribosomal RNA". Lineage: Eukaryota; Viridiplantae; Streptophyta; Magnoliopsida; Poales; Poaceae. The record is from RNAcentral.
AUGGGACUGGACGGUACUGUCGCCGGCGCUCUGCACCUUCCGCUGGUAUCUCCUGUAUGUGCCUACAUCACUCCAUGUCCCAUGUCCCUGCUACAGCCGGUGGACCUCCACAUGUUGGACGAGAACAAGGGCACUGAAGACCAUGGCCAGUCCCGUGAGGCCGUGACACCAUGCCUCUCCCACCUCUUUCGGUGGCUUUCUACUGCCCCUGCGCUGGGAGCUCAACAUGGAGGGACUCGCCAUGGAUCGAGCAUCGUCUGGAGUCUGGACGCAACUGCCCACUGCCCUGCAAGUUGA